Molecule: long non-coding RNA, 398 nt
Organism: Arabidopsis thaliana (thale cress)
Lineage: Eukaryota; Viridiplantae; Streptophyta; Magnoliopsida; Brassicales; Brassicaceae
Product: other RNA
Exons: 1
Source: RefSeq
GAUAUCUGUAACCUUGUCUUUUGCCUGCCAACAAAAGAACCUAACACUUUAAAACAAUUCACAGAACAAAUAGAUGAAACCAAUCUAAAAAAAAAACAAUUUCUCAAUACACACACACACACACACACACACAAAAAGCUCAUUAUUUGCAAUGUUGUCAGGCAUUAUUUGCAAUGUUGUCUCACAUCGAUCAGCAAACUCAAAUUUGUUCUUCGGUUAAGGGAAAAUAAUGCAGGAUUAGCUUCAAAACAAUUAGAAAACUUUUUCAAUUAAAAAUUGAAAUGAAAUCGACCAAAAUCAAUAAGUAAAACCAAAACCCUAAUCAACAGAGAUUUAACAAAGAGAAGAAGAGUGUGAUUAAGAAUUGCUACUGACAGCUUAUCUCGUAAUUCAAGAGU